UUUAUUAGAUCGCCUAAUUACUUGUCCUGUUGUUUUCACAAACAGUGCAAACAAGAAGCGGGGGACCCAAAUCUUUGGGGUGAAUCCACUAGAGAUUCAGUGCUCAUGCGAGUACGAGAAUCUCGAAGGUAGGGCUAUUUUUCAGCCCGAAUCCGACAGCUAACCUCGUAGGCGUGGAAAGAAAGUGUUU
Molecule: small RNA, 190 nt
Filed under: Gracilibacter sp.
Lineage: Bacteria; Bacillati; Bacillota; Clostridia; Eubacteriales; Gracilibacteraceae
Description: c-di-AMP sequence
Rfam family: c-di-AMP riboswitch aptamer (ydaO/yuaA leader)
About the family: This family represents a conserved RNA structure found upstream of the ydaO and yuaA genes in Bacillus subtilis and related genes in other bacteria. The ydaO/yuaA element is thought to act as a genetic "off" switch for the ydaO and yuaA genes in its native state.
Source: RNAcentral